RNAcentral lists this ribosomal RNA (428 nucleotides) under uncultured Lactococcus sp. RNAcentral describes it as "bacterial SSU rRNA". It matches the Rfam family "Bacterial small subunit ribosomal RNA", at positions 355 to 774 of the family's 1533-position model. Lineage: Bacteria; Bacillati; Bacillota; Bacilli; Lactobacillales; Streptococcaceae. The record is from RNAcentral.
UAGGGAAUCUUCGGCAAUGGACGAAAGUCUGACCGAGCAACGCCGCGUGAGUGAAGAAGGUUUUCGGAUCGUAAAACUCUGUUGGUAGAGAAGAACGUUGGUGAGAGUGGAAAGCUCAUCAAGUGACGGUAACUACCCAGAAAGGGACGGCUAACUACGUGCCAGCAGCCGCGGUAUACAGUAGGUCCCGAGCGUUGUCCGGAUUUAUUGGGCGUAAAGCGAGCGCAGGUGGUUUAUUAAGUCUGGUGUAAAAGGCAGUGGCUCAACCAUUGUAUGCAUUGGAAACUGGUAGACUUGAGUGCAGGAGAGGAGAGUGGAAUUCCAUGUGUAGCGGUGAAAUGCGUAGAUAUAUUGGAGGAACACCGGUGGCGAAAGCGGCUCUCUGGCCUGUAACUGACACUGAGGCUCGAAAGCGUGGGGAGCAAACA